Molecule: long non-coding RNA, 1532 nt
Filed under: Callithrix jacchus (white-tufted-ear marmoset)
Lineage: Eukaryota; Metazoa; Chordata; Mammalia; Primates; Cebidae
Description: lncRNA (ENSCJAG00000076813.1)
Source: RNAcentral
CUCAGGAGCUAGGUGAAUGGGUUUAAACAUUUGCACUGAGAGGCAAAAUGGCCACAUUUAACUGGGAUAUGGCAUUCUUCUAGGAAUACUUGAUUAGCAAAGGAAGAAUGCCUUAAGUAAGUAUGUGCACCACUCCAGUAAACACACUGCACAUGCAGUUCCUCCCAAGCGCUGGCAGGCUGCUGCAUGUACAGAUUGCCAACGUGUAAAACCCCAAGGCAAAGGCCAAGCUGUGCACUUGUCUCCGGUUAUCCACUUGGCCCUCUUCCGAGUAUGCUUUACUUCUAUUUAUUCCUGCCCUAACAUUUUUGAUAAACUUUCACUCCUGCUGUAAAACUUGUCUCCAUCUUUCACUGUGUCCGAUACCUUUCAGCGGAAUUCUUUCUUCUGAGGAUGCAAGAACUGAGGUUGCUGCAGACCCGUACCGAUUCACAACUGCUAACAGCAGUGAUCUCAAAAACUCAGAGGACAUAGCUGCAGCCACCCUUGGAGAACUGGUGGAUAUGUGGUCAGGAACCUGAAGCAGUAGUGAAGUCAUUGCCCAGAUGCCAGCAGUGGUGGCCCACAGGGUAAGGGAUGCCUACUGCUAUUCCUUUGUUCUCUUGUGUCAGAGACUAGAGAUACCAUCCUGGUGAACAUACCUUUGCUCCCUGACUCAUCACUCAAGCCUAAGAUCAACAGAUGAAAUUUCAAUAAUCCAGAGCCCUGCACUCUUUAGAGCCACCUAAAUGAGCAGUCAGCACUAUUCUGGACUAUCCACAUCACUUGUGAACAUAGGGAAAAAUACAGCCUUGACUGAUUGGCUCCCUGUGCCACCCCCUAGAACCCAGCUGCCCAAAGGACUUCAUAUCACCCCAUAGGAGUGAGCCUGGAGCUCUUCUAGGCAUCUGGUUGACUCCACUGAGGGGAUUAUGAGCAUAACAGAGAUGGUCUAAAGGGCAGACAAGGACCUUGGACCCAUGCAGAUCCUUCUCAGUCAUCACAGGGCUGCAUGAAACAACUGUAGGUAAUGGCAGGCCCCAGACAUUGGAGGGGGCCUUAGAUCAUUUCAAGAAAGGGUAGGGGAAUGCUGAGGCCAAGGCGAGAGCAGGACACAUACCCUGAUCCUGGAUCUAUGCGGUUUCUGGGCCCCCUUUCUUCCAUUUAGACUCAUCCACCUCUUCCCUGACUGAUUUGCAGUUCAUCCAGAUUUCUUUCUGGUGAUCUGUGUACUUGUCUCAUUCCUGACCCACAGAGAAUGUUCUGUCUGUUAACUUUCUACCACCAAAGUGGACAACAAAAUAUUUUGCUAAACUCAGGCAGUCUUUCUGCAUAACAGAAAUAAUGCUACUACUUCCUUUUUUCCCCCUCUCGGCUGCAUACACGUGUACGUAACCAUGAUAUAUUUUCCCCACAGUAUUUCACAAGUGUUACUGGAAUUUAAAUGUCUUGUUUUGUAUAUGACAGAGACUGACUGCAUUAAUGUGAAGUAGACAAUAAUUUCCUCUCAUUUUUCUUGCUCAAAAAUAUCUCAAGAUCAAAUUUCUUCUCUA